Molecule: ribosomal RNA, 496 nt
Filed under: uncultured bacterium
Lineage: Bacteria
Description: partial 16S ribosomal RNA
Rfam family: Bacterial small subunit ribosomal RNA
Source: RNAcentral
AUGCACGCUGGCGGCGUGCCUAAUACAUGCAAGUCGAGCGAACGGACGAGAAGCUUGCUUCUCUGAUGUUAGCGGCGGACGGGUGAGUAACACGUGGAUAACCUACCUAUAAGACUGAGAUAACUUCGGGAAACCGGAGCUAAUACCGGAUGAUAUUUUGAACCGCAUGGUUCAAAAGUGAAAGACGGUCUUGCUGUCACUUAUAGAUGGAUCCGCGCUGCAUUAGCUAGUUGGUAAGGUAACGGCUUACCAAGGCAACGAUGCAUAGCCGACCUGAGAGGGUGAUCGGCCACACUGGAACUGAGACACGGUCCAGACUCCUACGGGAGGCAGCAGUAGGGAAUCUUCCGCAAUGGGCGAAAGCCUGACGGAGCAACGCCGAGUGAGUGAUGAAGGUCUUCGGAUCGUAAAACUCUGUUAUUAGGGAAGAACAUAUGUGUAAGUAACUGUGCACAUCUUGACGGUACCUAAUCAGAAAGCCACGGCUAACUACGUG